CACACAUUUCGAAUCCCCCCGGGGAGUUGUAAUUUGAAGAUUGCGUCUUGGAGGCGACCGUGUCUAUGUUCCUUGGAACAGGACGUCACAGAGGGUGAGAAUCCCGUGCGGCACGGCCCCCGGCUCCUUAUAAGGCGCUCUCGACGAGUCGAGUUGUUUGGGAAUGCAGCUCAAAGUGGGUGGUAAAUUCCAUCUAAAGCUAAAUACAGGCGAGAGACCGAUAGCGAACAAGUACAGUGAUGGAAAGAUGAAAAGCACUUUGAAAAGAGAGUGAAACAGCACGUGAAAUUGUUGAAAGGGAAGGGCAUGCCGUCAGAUUGUCAGUGUGGGUAAGAAGCGGGGUACAAAGACUGUGGAACGUGGCCCUCGGGUGUUAUAGCCGCAGUUCAUGCCCCGUCUCUUUCCGAGGCCUGCUUUGAGGACACCGACGUAAUGACGGUACGCCGC
This 447-nucleotide ribosomal RNA is filed under the name Kodamaea ohmeri. Its description in RNAcentral is "partial large subunit ribosomal RNA". It matches the Rfam family "Eukaryotic large subunit ribosomal RNA", at positions 108 to 648 of the family's 3401-position model. Lineage: Eukaryota; Fungi; Ascomycota; Pichiomycetes; Serinales; Debaryomycetaceae. The record is from RNAcentral.